GAGGGUAUAGCUCAGAGGUGGAGUGUGUGCUUAGCAUGCACUGGGUCCUAGGUUCAAUCCCCAGCACCUCCA
Camelus ferus (Wild Bactrian camel) is the source of this 72-nucleotide transfer RNA. It matches the Rfam family "tRNA". Rfam says of the family: Transfer RNA (tRNA) molecules are approximately 80 nucleotides in length. Their secondary structure includes four short double-helical elements and three loops (D, anti-codon, and T loops). Further hydrogen bonds mediate the characteristic L-shaped molecular structure. tRNAs have two regions of fundamental functional importance: the anti-codon, which is responsible for specific mRNA codon recognition, and the 3' end, to which the tRNAs corresponding amino acid is attached (by aminoacyl-tRNA synthetases). tRNAs cope with the degeneracy of the genetic code in two manners: having more than one tRNA (with a specific anti-codon) for a particular amino acid; and 'wobble' base-pairing, i.e. permitting non-standard base-pairing at the 3rd anti-codon position. NCBI's taxonomy places the organism in Eukaryota, Metazoa, Chordata, Mammalia, Artiodactyla, Camelidae. The record is from Rfam.